This 427-nucleotide ribosomal RNA is filed under the name uncultured bacterium. RNAcentral describes it as "partial 16S ribosomal RNA". It matches the Rfam family "Bacterial small subunit ribosomal RNA", at positions 355 to 774 of the family's 1533-position model. The record is from RNAcentral.
UGGGGAAUAUUGCACAAUGGGCGCAAGCCUGAUGCAGCCAUGCCGCGUGUAUGAAGAAGGCCUUCGGGUUGUAAAGUACUUUCAGCGGGGAGGAAGGUGUUGAGGCUAAUAACCUCAGCAAUUGACGUUACCCGCAGAAGAAGCACCGGCUAACUCCGUGCCAGCAGCCGCGGUCAUACGGAGGGUGCAAGCGUUAAUCGGAAUUACUGGGCGUAAAGCGCACGCAGGCGGUCUGUCAAGUCGGAUGUGAAAUCCCCGGGCUCAACCUGGGAACUGCAUUCGAAACUGGCAGGCUAGAGUCUUGUAGAGGGGGGUAGAAUUCCAGGUGUAGCGGUGAAAUGCGUAGAGAUCUGGAGGAAUACCGGUGGCGAAGGCGGCCCCCUGGACAAAGACUGACGCUCAGGUGCGAAAGCGUGGGGAGCAAACA